This 60-nucleotide transfer RNA is filed under the name Klebsiella pneumoniae. RNAcentral describes it as "tRNA-Gln". It matches the Rfam family "tRNA", at positions 16 to 71 of the family's 71-position model. From Rfam's summary of the family: Transfer RNA (tRNA) molecules are approximately 80 nucleotides in length. Their secondary structure includes four short double-helical elements and three loops (D, anti-codon, and T loops). The record is from RNAcentral. Lineage: Bacteria; Pseudomonadati; Pseudomonadota; Gammaproteobacteria; Enterobacterales; Enterobacteriaceae.
CGGUAAGGCACCGGAUUCUGAUUCCGGCAUUCCGAGGUUCGAAUCCUCGUACCCCAGCCA